UCGUGUCGUGAGAUGUUGGGUUAAGUCCCGCAACGAGCGCAACCCUCACCUCUUGUUGCCACCAGGUCAUGCUGAGCACUCUAGAGGAACUGCCCCGGUCAACGGGGAGGAAGGCGGGGAUGACGUCAAGUCAUCAUGCCCCUUACGUCCUGGGCUACACACGUGCUACAAUGGCCGGUACAAAGGGAUGCCACACCGCGAGGUAGAGCUAAACCCAAAAAGCCGGUCUAAGUUCAGAUUGGAGUCUGCAACUCGACUCCAUGAAGGAGGAAUCGCUAGUAAUCGC
Molecule: ribosomal RNA, 286 nt
Filed under: uncultured Methylomirabilota bacterium
Lineage: Bacteria; Methylomirabilota (SeqCode)
Description: uncultured candidate division NC10 bacterium partial 16S ribosomal RNA
Rfam family: Bacterial small subunit ribosomal RNA
Source: RNAcentral